GUUUCUUGUCCUAAAAGAAGUCGAAAAAGAAAGGAAUCAGAACGGGCAAGAUUUUAAUCUUUGAUCCCACCACCGCUUGAAAUGGCGGUUUUCUAUCCCUUUUGGCAGAGUAAUUCGCGGGCAAUUACGGUAGACUCCGAACUGGAUCGAAUCGGAAAAUUCCCAAUCGAAGAUGAUCCAGGCAGAAUUGAAAUGAACUUGAGAUCGGAGUUUGUUAAGCCUCAAGCGACGACCAGAGAGAGGGCGGGGGGAAGAGGAAGUGGGCAAAGCAUGUUCAAUUCAAUGGAACUGGAAUCGGAGACUUCCAGGUGAAACAUCUAAUGGGUAUCAACAGAAGCUAGCCUAUGGAUUCAAUGCACUAGUAGGUCGUCGUUAAUGAUGGUGGUCGUGGGCCGUGGUUUGUUCCCUUGGCCGGUGUAAUUCAGUGAUUCUUGGGCUACUUUCUAACCUAGGCUUCCGUUGCUGGGGUCUCCCUUCGGCCGCCGGGUCUCGCUAUGUGCCUUUCCAUGUCGGUGGCUGCUCAUGCUCAGAGCUUCUUCGACACGGCUAACGUUGUCACUGGCGUUCGGAAUUUCCCUAGUGGGAAGGCCGAUUAUGUUUGAAUUCUGGAGGACAAGCAAUAUUAUGUGUUAGCAUACCUGCAGAGGUAGGCAUAUAUGCAUAAUCAUCUAUAUUUAAGGAGGAAAUGAUUGAAUUAUAGUUCUUCUUGUGGAGUGAUUUGGUCUGGCUUAGAGAUGAAAGCGCCAUUACAUUAGAUCGCAUUGAUAGUAAAAACUGAGAUUGACAUGAACACACACACACUCAUGUUCAAGUGACAUCUUGAAGGACGAUAAGGUUCUGAUAAAUUUCUACAGAAAAUCCUGUAUCUGUUGUGCAUUUUGUAUUUUGUUCCAUUUAUGGACGUGUGAGAGCUGCUUUGUUUAAUUUAGGUGGACGAUUUCAUCUUUCCACCUCACUUUGGUUUAAAUGUAUGACCGAAAACUUUGUGCAAAAUUUAGAAGUUGUGUAGGUUGUAUAAUGAACAUUACAAAACUCGAACUCAAUCUCAAAGAAAACUCGAGUCUCAUUCCUUUCUUCCAAGUGGGAUUCAGCAUCACUGGUCCACUGCUUUAAGUAGUUUUUGCAGGGUCUUGUGUGAAUCUGCAAAUUGAAGCUCUAGCACUAGUGCCUCCUGUUCUUCCAACCUGCAAUUAUGCCUAUCAUACUCAUCUAUAGAUUCAUCAGCCAAUUACUUUGGCAACUGAAAUUUGCUUCUAAUAUAUCAUGCUUAUAGAAUUUUUUGUGUACACGAUUGUAAUACGAGAGACUACACCUUUAUCGCGUCUGAGCCAAUUUGUUUGUCAGUUCUCUUUAACUUUAUAGACAGUAGAGUUUUCUAAGAUGUUCACAAGGGGUGGGGAUUCUGAGGAGGGAUCCAGUAAUUGGAAAUGUCGAGUUAUUCAUGAUUUAACUUGAUACUACGGAGUUAUCCAUUUUCAAAAUGAUUAUCGACCCGUUGCUGGAAGCUGGAUAGAUUUCAGGUUUUAGUUGUAUGUACUUCAAGGUGGUUGAUCUAUUGUUCUUGAGGUUUGCGAGAGUUACAUUUUUACUCCAAUCUGGUUGCCUCCUAAAACUCUAUAGAAAGCAAAAUCAAGUUUGUCUCUGCCAAUGUCUGCAGCGCCCGUCAGUCCUACAACAUAUGCUGUCGAGAAGCAAGAACCAGCCAAAAUGGAUGACUCUUACAUGGCUACGUGGAGGACAUGAAAGCCUCUCGUUCACUUGAUGGAGAACAGAGUUCAGGGUUGGCUAUGUUCAACUUUUGUUCGCUGCUCGGUUCGUUCUUCGAGCCCUGCUUCUCCCUUCUCCCUCUCGCUCGAUUUACUGUCGAGUUUAUAUAGUUGGCUACUAUAUUUGCCUGAUACUGUGAAAAGUUAAGAGAAAAAUGUGUUUAUAAUGUUUAGGUGUAUGAUUGCUGCACCAACAGUGUACAAAAGUUGCAUUCAAAUUCUAUUUGUUUUCUACGGA
This is a non-coding RNA of Cucurbita pepo subsp. pepo (vegetable marrow), 2004 nucleotides long. NCBI's taxonomy places the organism in Eukaryota, Viridiplantae, Streptophyta, Magnoliopsida, Cucurbitales, Cucurbitaceae. The record is from RefSeq and is a predicted model, not a curated record.